GGCCCAGGAAGUAGUGAUAUAUAUGCUCAUACUUGGUCUGUUUUAGGUUCAGCCUAAAGUCCACAAGAAUAUAACAGAUGAGCCAAAACCUACCUGAAGAUCAAUUUUGAUCACUUGACAAAGAAUUUUGGAUGGAAUAUCAGAUGAGGGCAUCUGCUGUUCUAACACCUGAUGCACCCAAGCUCCAAGCUACAUGUAGAAGAGAUAUUGUAAAUUGUAAGACCAAAGACAUCAUACAAUGGCAGGCAAAAGAUAUCUCUAAUCAAACUCAUUGUAGAUCAAAGACGCCAGAGAAUGACAUACAAUCAUUUUGUUCUGCUGUAUAUGAUUCAAAUUUCUUGAAGCAAUGAGAUGCAGAGUGUAAAAGAGAAAAACUAUCAAUAGUAUCUUCCUGCCUACCAUAUCCAGAAACACAAAAUAAAACAUCAAGAAAAUCAAUAUUAGGAAAAUCAACUCACAGGAAGUUCACUAAAUCACUAACAGAUGAUGAAUUGAUAAGUCAACGAAUCAGUGGCCAUGCUCCUUAGUGUUGCUGGUGCUCGAAGUGGCAGUGCUCCUCCGGAAGAGCAACAAGGUUGGAAAAGAUCAUGCCGCCAUCAUGGUAGAGUGGAUCAAUGGAGCUGGUCUUGAUG
This 632-nucleotide unclassified non-coding RNA is filed under the name Hevea brasiliensis (rubber tree). The record is from RNAcentral. Lineage: Eukaryota; Viridiplantae; Streptophyta; Magnoliopsida; Malpighiales; Euphorbiaceae.